UGGGGGAUAUUGCACAAUGGGCGAAAGCCUGAUGCAGCGACGCCGCGUGGGGGAUGAAGGCUUUCGGGUUGUAAACCUCUUUCGCUAUCGAACAAGGCCCGCUUAGGGUGGGUUGAGGGUAGGUGGAGAAGAAGCGCCGGCUAACUACGUGCCAGCAGCCGCGGUAAUACGUAGGGCGCGAGCGUUGUCCGGAAUUAUUGGGCGUAAAGGGCUUGUAGGCGGCUUGUUGCGCCUGCUGUGAAAACGCGGGGCUUAACUUCGCGCGUGCAGUGGGUACGGGCAGGCUUGAGUGUGGUAGGGGUGACUGGAAUUCCAGGUGUAGCGGUGGAAUGCGCAGAUAUCUGGAGGAACACCGAUGGCGAAGGCAGGGCACUGGGCCAUUACUGACGCUGAGGAGCGAAAGCAUGAGUAGCGAACAGG
Molecule: ribosomal RNA, 420 nt
Filed under: bacterium
Lineage: Bacteria
Description: partial 16S ribosomal RNA
Rfam family: Bacterial small subunit ribosomal RNA
Source: RNAcentral